AANGGCAGCAAGUUCGCGAGGACAAGCAAAUCCCAUAAACCGUGGCUCAGUUCAGAUCGUAGGCUGCAACUCGCCUACGUGAAGGCGGAAUCGCUAGUAAUCGCAGGUCAGCAUACUGCGGUGAAUACGUUCCCGGGCCUUGUACACACCGCCCGUCACACCAUGGAAGUUGGCCACGCCCGAAGCCGUUACUCCAACCCUUGUGGAGGAGGACGUCGAAGGUGGGGCUGAUGACUGGGGUGAAGUCGUAACAAGGUAUCCGUACCGGAAGGUGCGGAUGGAUCACCUCCUAA
Molecule: ribosomal RNA, 293 nt
Filed under: Synechococcus sp. WH 8005
Lineage: Bacteria; Bacillati; Cyanobacteriota; Cyanophyceae; Synechococcales; Synechococcaceae
Description: partial 16S ribosomal RNA
Rfam family: Bacterial small subunit ribosomal RNA
Source: RNAcentral